This 585-nucleotide small RNA is filed under the name Pan troglodytes (chimpanzee). Its description in RNAcentral is "retained intron". Lineage: Eukaryota; Metazoa; Chordata; Mammalia; Primates; Hominidae. The record is from RNAcentral.
GCCGAAGCUGGCUUCUAAGGGAACUUGGGAGGAUCCCAUCUCAGCCUUCGUGACUAGUGAGGGUCUCCAGAUCUGAAAGCAUAGCCUCGCGGCCUGUAUUCCAGUAGUGUUACAAUCGGUUUUUAUCGAGUGCCCACUAUGUACUGACACUGAACUAAGCGAUUUGGAUGCCUGGUCAUUUAAUCCUUGGAGCAAUCUUGAGAGGUUGGAGUUUUGAUUUCCAUUCUGCAGUUGAGGAAACGGAGGCUGCAAGAUUAAAUGAAUGACUUAUACAUGGAUAUGUAGUUGCAGAGGCAGUGUUAACAUCCCAACUGAAAGCACAUCAAGAGAAACCAAAUUUUAUUAUCAAGACCCCAAAGGGUACCAGGGAUCUUAGUCCUCAGCAUAUGGUUGUGAGGGAGAAAAUUCUUGAUUUGGUUAUCAGCUGCUUUAAACGUCAUGGAGCAAAGGGGAUGGACACCCCAGCAUUUGAGCUGAAGGAAACCCUGACUGAGAAGUAUGGAGAGGACUCUGGGCUCAUGUAUGAUCUGAAGGAUCAAGGUGGAGAGCUGUUGUCCCUCCGCUAUGACCUUACUGUAUCCUUUG